Sinocyclocheilus grahami is the source of this 189-nucleotide long non-coding RNA. RefSeq lists it as uncharacterized. The transcript has 3 exons. The record is from RefSeq and is a predicted model, not a curated record. Lineage: Eukaryota; Metazoa; Chordata; Actinopteri; Cypriniformes; Cyprinidae.
ACGGAAACCAAAUCGUGCUCCGCCUUGAAUGUUACCCAUAAUCCCCCGCUCUUCCUUUCGCACAGUCUCCGCGCAGGAUGGCACCGAAGAAGGGCGAGAAGAAGAAGGGGCGCUCUGCCAUCAACGAGGUGGUGACCCGCGAGUACACCAUCAACGUCCACAAGCGCAUCCACGGCAUCUCCUUCAAGU